This 470-nucleotide ribosomal RNA is filed under the name uncultured Rhodobacterales bacterium. RNAcentral describes it as "bacterial SSU rRNA". It matches the Rfam family "Bacterial small subunit ribosomal RNA", at positions 8 to 524 of the family's 1533-position model. Lineage: Bacteria; Pseudomonadati; Pseudomonadota; Alphaproteobacteria; Rhodobacterales. The record is from RNAcentral.
AGAGUUUGAUCCUGGCUCAGAACGAACGCUGGCGGCAGGCUUAACACAUGCAAGCCGAGCGCCCUGCUUGCAGGGAGCGGCAGACGGGUGAGUAACGCGUGGGAACGUGCCCUUCGGUACGGAAUAGCCCUGGGAAACUGGGUGUAAUACCGUAUACGACCUCCGGGUGAAAGAUUUAUCGCCGAAGGAUCGGCCCGCGUUAGAUUAGCUUGAUGGUGGGGUAAAGGCCUACCAUGGCGACGAUCUAUAGCUGGUCUGAGAGGACGAUCAGCCACAUUAGGACUGAGACACGGCCCAAACUCCUACGGGAGGCAGCAGUGGGGAAUAUUGGACAAUGGGCGCAAGCCUGAUCCAGCCAUGCCGCGUGAGUGAUGAAGGCCCUAGUGUUGUAAAGCUCUUUCAACGGUGAAGAUAAUGACGGUAACCGUAGAAGAAGCCCCGGCUAACUUCGUGCCAGCAGCCGCGGUAAU